UCUACGGGUGGCAGCAGUGGGGAAUAUUGGACAAUGGGCGAAAGCCUGAUCCAGCCAUGCCGCGUGUGUGAAGAAGGCCUUCGGGUUGUAAAGCACUUUCAGUGGGGAAGAAAGCCUUGGGGCUAAUACCCUCGAGGAAGGACAUCACCAACAGAAGAAGCACCGGCUAACUCCGUGCCAGCAGCCGCGGUAAUACGGAGGGUGCGAGCGUUAAUCGGAAUUACUGGGCGUAAAGCGCGCGUCGGCGGUCUGAUAAGCCGGUUGUGAAAGCCCCGGGCUCAACCUGGGAACGGCAUCCGGAACUGUCAGGCUAGAGUGCAGGAGAGGAAGGUAGAAUUCCCGGUGUAGCGGUGAAAUGCGUAGAGAUCGGGAGGAAUACCAGUGGCGAAGGCGGCCUUCUGGACUGACACUGACGCUGAGGUGCGAAAGCGUGGGUAGCAAACAGGAUUAGAUACCCCAGUAGUC
Molecule: ribosomal RNA, 465 nt
Filed under: Vreelandella stevensii
Lineage: Bacteria; Pseudomonadati; Pseudomonadota; Gammaproteobacteria; Oceanospirillales; Halomonadaceae
Description: partial 16S ribosomal RNA
Rfam family: Bacterial small subunit ribosomal RNA
Source: RNAcentral